RNAcentral lists this ribosomal RNA (301 nucleotides) under uncultured bacterium. Its description in RNAcentral is "partial 16S ribosomal RNA". It matches the Rfam family "Bacterial small subunit ribosomal RNA", at positions 509 to 809 of the family's 1533-position model. The record is from RNAcentral.
CAGCCGCCGCGGGAAUACCGAGGGUGCGAGCGUUAAUCGGAUUUACUGGGCGUAAAGCGUGCGUAGGCGGCUUUUUAAGUCGGAUGUGAAAUCCCUGAGCUUAACUUAGGAAUUGCAUUCGAUACUGGGAAGCUAGAGUAUGGGAGAGGAUGGUAGAAUUCCAGGUGUAGCGGUGAAAUGCGUAGAGAUCUGGAGGAAUACCGAUGGCGAAGGCAGCCAUCUGGCCUAAUACUGACGCUGAGGUACGAAAGCAUGGGGAGCAAACAGGAUUAGAUACCCCCGUAGUCCCUGUCUCUUAUAA